AUUAUUCUUCAUCAUGUAGUACUGUCAAAUAGCCUUUGCAAUUUUCUCUGACUUAAGUUAAUCUCUUACUGUUCAGGAAUUCAAUGGAUUUUAAGCCAUUGGAGUUCUUCUAAAAACAAAAACAAGGAAGGAACAUAGUACGACAAGUGCUGGAACUUUAUUCAACCGUAUCAUACUUCCAUGCUGGGUGUUCUUUUUGCUGCUGCAAUGUACUCUGUGUGUGUGUGUGCGCGCGCGCGCGCGUGUGUAAAUGGGCCCAUGAUGGAGCUCUUUGUAACACGCUUGAAGCUGCAUGCAGUGCUGCUCUGAUGGUUUUCGAGGGCACAUGAUCAUCUGGUUCUUAAUCAGUCUUGCCAGUCCUUCUGGGAAAAGUUCGGACAUUUCAAAACUUUUUGGUUAACGCUUCUUGUUUGAUCCAGUUGUAAUGAUUAUAUUGGCUCUCACACUAGAACAUGAAAGCACGUUGGUUUUGAGAAAGUAACGAUAUAAAUUAACUAUCUCAAAAAUAAUGAUUGAAAUAUUCGAAUAACUGAGAUGCAAA
Long non-coding RNA from Triticum aestivum (bread wheat), 541 nucleotides. RefSeq lists it as uncharacterized. The record is from RefSeq and is a predicted model, not a curated record. NCBI's taxonomy places the organism in Eukaryota, Viridiplantae, Streptophyta, Magnoliopsida, Poales, Poaceae. The transcript is spliced from 2 exons.